GUCGAGAAUCUUUCACAAUGGGGGCAACCCUGAUGGAGCGACGCCGCGUGGAGGAUAAGGUCUUCGGAUUGUAAACUCCUGUCAUGCGUGAACAAGGUUGCUUGGUUAAUACCUGGGCAAAUUGAUGGUAACGCAAGAGGAAGAGACGGCUAACUCUGUGCCAGCAGCCGCGGUAAUACAGAGGUCUCAAGCGUUGUUCGGAAUCACUGGGCGUAAAGGGUGCGUAGGUGGCGUGGUAAGUCAGAUGUGAAAGCACGGGGCUCAACCUCGGAACUGCAUCCGAUACUGCCAUGCUAGAGUACUGGAGAGGUGACUAGAAUUCUCGGUGUAGCAGUGAAAUGCGUAGAUAUCGAGAGGAAUACCAAAGGCGUAGGCAGGUCACUGGACAGUUACUGACACUGAGGCACGAAGGCCAGGGGAGCGAACGGGAUUAGAAACCCUUGUAGUCC
This 449-nucleotide ribosomal RNA is filed under the name uncultured bacterium. Its description in RNAcentral is "partial 16S ribosomal RNA". It matches the Rfam family "Bacterial small subunit ribosomal RNA", at positions 354 to 796 of the family's 1533-position model. The record is from RNAcentral.